RNAcentral lists this ribosomal RNA (460 nucleotides) under uncultured bacterium. RNAcentral's name for it is "bacterial SSU rRNA". It matches the Rfam family "Bacterial small subunit ribosomal RNA", at positions 30 to 490 of the family's 1533-position model. The record is from RNAcentral.
AUUGAACGCUGGCGGCAUGCCUUACACAUGCAAGUCGAACGGCAGCACGGGAGCAAUCCUGGUGGCGAGUGGCGAACGGGUGAGUAAUGUAUCGGAACGUACCUUUCAGUGGGGGAUAACGUAGCGAAAGUUACGCUAAUACCGCAUAUUCUGUGAGCAGGAAAGCAGGGGAUCGCAAGACCUUGCGCUGAUUGAGCGGCCGAUAUCAGAUUAGCUAGUUGGUGAGGUAAAGGCUCACCAAGGCGACGAUCUGUAGCGGGUCUGAGAGGAUGAUCCACCACACUGGAACUGAGACACGGUCCAGACUCCUACGGGAGGCAGCAGUGGGGAAUUUUGGACAAUGGGCGCAAGCCUGAUCCAGCCAUGCCGCGUGAGUGAAGAAGGCCUGGUUGUAAAGCUCUUCUAGCGGAAGAAACGACGAUGGUAAGUACCUCGUGUGGAUGACGGUACCGGAAGUAAG